UGCAAGUCGAGCGGAAACGAGUUAUCUGAACCUUCGGGGAACGAUAACGGCGUCGAGCGGCGGACGGGUGAGUAAUGCCUAGGAAAUUGCCCUGAUGUGGGGGAUAACCAUUGGAAACGAUGGCUAAUACCGCAUGAUGCCUACGGGCCAAAGAGGGGGACCUUCGGGCCUCUCGCGUCAGGAUAUGCCUAGGUGGGAUUAGCUAGUUGGUGAGGUAAGGGCUCACCAAGGCGACGAUCCCUAGCUGGUCUGAGAGGAUGAUCAGCCACACUGGAACUGAGACACGGUCCAGACUCCUACGGGAGGCAGCAGUGGGGAAUAUUGCACAAUGGGCGCAAGCCUGAUGCAGCCAUGCCGCGUGUGUGAAGAAGGCCUUCGGGUUGUAAAGCACUUUCAGUCGUGAGGAAGGUGGUGUAGUUAAUAGCUGCAUUAUUUGACGUUAGCGACAGAAGAAGCACCGGCUAACUCCGUGCCAGCAGCCGCGGUAAUACGGAGGGUGCGAGCGUUAAUCGGAAUUACUGGGCGUAAAGCGCAUGCAGGUGGUUUGUUAAGUCAGAUGUGAAAGCCCGGGGCUCAACCUCGGAAUAGCAUUUGAAACUGGCAGACUAGAGUACUGUAGAGGGGGGUAGAAUUUCAGGUGUAGCGGUGAAAUGCGUAGAGAUCUGAAGGAAUACCGGUGGC
This 681-nucleotide ribosomal RNA is filed under the name uncultured bacterium. RNAcentral's name for it is "bacterial SSU rRNA". It matches the Rfam family "Bacterial small subunit ribosomal RNA", at positions 56 to 716 of the family's 1533-position model. The record is from RNAcentral.